UGGCGACCGGCGCACGGGUGAGUAACGCGUAUGCAACUUACCUAUCAGAGGGGGAUAGCCCGGCGAAAGUCGGAUUAAUACCCCAUGAAACAGGGGUCCCGCAUGGGAAUAUUUGUUAAAGAUUCAUCGCUGAUAGAUAGGCAUGCGUUCCAUUAGGCAGUUGGCGGGGUAACGGCCCACCAAACCGACGAUGGAUAGGGGUUCUGAGAGGAAGGUCCCCCACAUUGGACUGAGACACGGCCAA
Molecule: ribosomal RNA, 244 nt
Filed under: uncultured bacterium
Lineage: Bacteria
Description: partial 16S ribosomal RNA
Rfam family: Bacterial small subunit ribosomal RNA
Source: RNAcentral